GAUGAAGAACGCAGCGAAAUGCGAUAAGUAAUGUGAAUUGCAGAAUUCAGUGAAUCAUCGAAUCUUUGAACGCACCUUGCGCUCUUUGGUAUUCCGAAGAGCAUGCCUGUUUGAGUGUCAUGAAAAUAUCAACCUUGACUUGGGUUUUGUGCUCUAGUCUCGGCUUGGAAUUGGGUGCUUGCCGCUUUUACGAGCGGCUCACCUUAAAUGUAUUAGCUGGAUCUGUCUUUGAGACUUGGUUUGACUUGGCGUAAUAAGUAUUUCGCUAAGGACAUUCUUCGGAGUGGCCUCGUUUCUAGGACGCUUGUCCGCUUUCCAAUACAAGUUCCACCUCGUGGACAUGACUUUUUAUUAUCUGGCCUCAAUCAGGUAGGACUACCCGCUGAACUUAAGCAUAUCAAUAAGCGGAGGA
RNAcentral lists this unclassified non-coding RNA (412 nucleotides) under soil metagenome. RNAcentral's name for it is "partial contains 5.8S ribosomal RNA, internal transcribed spacer 2, and large subunit ribosomal RNA". The stretch from base 1 to 120 matches the Rfam family "5.8S ribosomal RNA", at positions 35 to 154 of the family's 154-position model. The record is from RNAcentral.